This 501-nucleotide ribosomal RNA is filed under the name uncultured bacterium. Its description in RNAcentral is "partial 16S ribosomal RNA". It matches the Rfam family "Bacterial small subunit ribosomal RNA", at positions 29 to 523 of the family's 1533-position model. The record is from RNAcentral.
AUUGAACGCUGGCGGCAUGCCUUACACAUGCAAGUCGAACGGCAGCACGGGUGCUUGCACCUGGUGGCGAGUGGCGAACGGGUGAGUAAUACAUCGGAACGUACCUUAUCGUGGGGGAUAACGCAGCGAAAGCUGUGCUAAUACCGCAUACGCCCUGAGGGGGAAAGCGGGGGAUCGCAAGACCUCGCGCGAUUAGAGCGGCCGAUGCCUGAUUAGCUUGUUGGUGGGGUAAAAGCCCACCAAGGCGACGAUCAGUAGCUGGUCUGAGAGGACGAGCAGCGCCACUGGGACUGGGACACGGCCCAGACUCCUACGGGAGGCAGCAGUGGGGAAUUUUGGACAAUGGGGGCAACCCUGAUCCAGCAAUGCCGCGUGAGUGAAGAAGGCCUUCGGGUUGUAAAGCUCUUUUGUCAGGGAAGAAACACCGGCUCUAACACAGUCCGGGAAUGACGGUACCUGAAGAAUAAGCACCGGCUAACUACGUGCCAGCAGCCGCGGUAA